UACGAAGGGGGCUAGCGUUGUUCGGAAUCACUAGGCGUAAAGCGCACGUAGGCGGAUCUUUAAGUCAGGGGUGAAAUCCCGAGGCUCAACCUCGGAACUGCCUUUGAUACUGGGGAUCUCGAGUCCGGGAGAGGUGAGUGGAACUGCGAGUGUAGAGGUGAAAUUCGUAGAUAUUCGCAAGAACACCAGUGGCGAAGGCGGCUCACUGGCCCGGAACUGACGCUGAGGUGCGAAAGCGUGGGGAGCAAACAGG
This 253-nucleotide ribosomal RNA is filed under the name uncultured bacterium. RNAcentral describes it as "partial 16S ribosomal RNA". It matches the Rfam family "Bacterial small subunit ribosomal RNA", at positions 524 to 776 of the family's 1533-position model. The record is from RNAcentral.